Molecule: ribosomal RNA, 330 nt
Filed under: Habronattus pugillus
Lineage: Eukaryota; Metazoa; Arthropoda; Arachnida; Araneae; Salticidae
Description: partial 16S ribosomal RNA
Rfam family: Bacterial large subunit ribosomal RNA (bases 3-297)
Source: RNAcentral
AAAGAAAGACGAUUAGACCCUAUUGAACUUAACUGUAGUUAAACUGGGSCAGUAAAUUAAUUAUUAUUUUAAUAAAAUAUAUCAUAUAAAUAUCUAAUAAAAUUAAAUAAUUCAGUUACCAUAGGGAUAACAGCGUAAUAGUUUUCUAAAGAUCUUAUUUAAAAUAUAGAUUACGACCUCGAUGUUGAAUUAAUAACCUAAUUAAGGCAAAACUUAAAAAAGGAAGUCUGUUCGACUUUUAAAAAAUUACAUGAUUUGAGUUCAGACCGGUGUAAGCCAGGUCGGUUUCUAUCUUCUAAAAAAUUUUUUACAGUACGAAAGGACCUAAAA